This 395-nucleotide ribosomal RNA is filed under the name uncultured Flavobacterium sp. RNAcentral's name for it is "bacterial SSU rRNA". It matches the Rfam family "Bacterial small subunit ribosomal RNA", at positions 1 to 401 of the family's 1533-position model. Lineage: Bacteria; Pseudomonadati; Bacteroidota; Flavobacteriia; Flavobacteriales; Flavobacteriaceae. The record is from RNAcentral.
GAUCGAGUUUGAUCCUGGCUCAGGAUGAACGCUAGCGGCAGGCUUAACACAUGCAAGUCGAGGGGUAUAGUUCUUCGGAACUAGAGACCGGCGCACGGGUGUGUAACGCGUAUGCAAUCUACCUUUUACAGAGGGAUAGCCCAGAGAAAUUUGGAUUAAUACCUCAUAGUAUUACGACUCGGCAUCGAGAUGUAAUUAAAGUCACAACGGUAAAAGAUGAGCAUGCGUCCCAUUAGCUAGUUGGUAAGGUAACGGCUUACCAUGGCAACGAUGGGUAGGGGUCCUGAGAGGGAGAUCCCCCGACACUGGUACUGAGACACGGACCAGACUCCUACGGGAGGCAGCAGUAGGGAAUAUUGCACAAUGGGGCGAAAGCCUGAUGCAGCGACGCCGCG